RNAcentral lists this ribosomal RNA (301 nucleotides) under uncultured bacterium. RNAcentral describes it as "partial 16S ribosomal RNA". It matches the Rfam family "Bacterial small subunit ribosomal RNA", at positions 509 to 807 of the family's 1533-position model. The record is from RNAcentral.
CAGUCGCCGCGGGAACACGAAGGGGGCUAGCGUUACUCGGAAUUACUGGGCGUAAAGGGCGCGUAGGCGGCGCUCCAAGUUAGGCGUGAAAGUCCUGGGCUCAACCUGGGAACUGCGCUUAAGACUGGAGUGCUUGAGGAUGGAAGAGGGUUGUGGAAUUCCCAGUGUAGAGGUGAAAUUCGUAGAUAUUGGGAAGAACACCGGUGGCGAAGGCGGCAACCUGGUCCAUUACUGACGCUGAGGCGCGACAGCGUGGGGAGCAAACAGGAUUAGAUACCCCCGUAGUCCCUGUCUCUUAUAC